RNAcentral lists this ribosomal RNA (785 nucleotides) under Comoclathris sedi. Its description in RNAcentral is "SSU rRNA". It matches the Rfam family "Eukaryotic small subunit ribosomal RNA", at positions 288 to 1080 of the family's 1831-position model. The record is from RNAcentral. Lineage: Eukaryota; Fungi; Ascomycota; Dothideomycetes; Pleosporales; Pleosporaceae.
CGACGGUUCAUUCAAAUUUCUGCCCUAUCAACUUUCGAUGGUAAGGUAUUGGCUUACCAUGGUUUCAACGGGUAACGGGGAAUUAGGGUUCGAUUCCGGAGAGGGAGCCUGAGAAACGGCUACCACAUCCAAGGAAGGCAGCAGGCGCGCAAAUUACCCAAUCCCGACACGGGGAGGUAGUGACAAUAAAUACUGAUACAGGGCUCUUUUGGGUCUUGUAAUUGGAAUGAGUACAAUUUAAACCUCUUAACGAGGAACAAUUGGAGGGCAAGUCUGGUGCCAGCAGCCGCGGUAAUUCCAGCUCCAAUAGCGUAUAUUAAAGUUGUUGCAGUUAAAAAGCUCGUAGUUGAAACUUGGGCCUGGCUGGCGGGUCCGCCUCACCGCGUGCACUCGUCCGGCCGGGCCUUCCUUCUGAAGAACCUCAUGCCCUUCACUGGGCGUGUUGGGGAAUCAGGACUUUUACUUUGAAAAAAUUAGAGUGUUCAAAGCAGGCCUUUGCUCGAAUACGUUAGCAUGGAAUAAUAAAAUAGGACUGCGUUCCUAUUUUGUUGGUUUCUAGGAACGCCGUAAUGAUUAAUAGGGACUGUUGGGGGCAUUAGUAUUCAGUAGUCAGAGGUGAAAUUCUUGGAUUUACUGAAGACUAACUACUGCGAAAGCAUUUGCCAAAGAUGUUUUCAUUAAUCAGUGAACGAAAGUUAGGGGAUCGAAGACGAUCAGAUACCGUCGUAGUCUUAACCGUAAACAAUGCCGACUAGGGAUCGGGCGAUGUUCUUUUCUGACUCGCU